UACGAAGGGGGCGAGCGUUGUUCGGAAUCACUGGGCGUAAAGGGCGCGUAGGCGGCCCUCUUAGUCGCGUGUGAAAGCCCCGGGCUCAACCUGGGAACGGCGCGCGAAACGGGAGGGCUGGAGUUCGGGAGAGGAGAGUGGAAUUCCCAGUGUAGAGGUGAAAUUCGUAGAUAUCAGGAAGAACACCAAUGGCGAAGGCAGCUCUCUGGGACGGUACUGACGCUGAGACGCGAAAGCGUGGGGAGCGAACAGG
RNAcentral lists this ribosomal RNA (253 nucleotides) under uncultured bacterium. RNAcentral describes it as "partial 16S ribosomal RNA". It matches the Rfam family "Bacterial small subunit ribosomal RNA", at positions 524 to 776 of the family's 1533-position model. The record is from RNAcentral.